RNAcentral lists this ribosomal RNA (396 nucleotides) under uncultured bacterium. Its description in RNAcentral is "partial 16S ribosomal RNA". It matches the Rfam family "Bacterial small subunit ribosomal RNA", at positions 523 to 918 of the family's 1533-position model. The record is from RNAcentral.
AUACGUAGGGAGCGAGCGUUGUCCGGAAUUACUGGGUGUAAAGGGAGCGUAGGCGGGAUCGCAAGUCAGAUGUGAAAUACAUGGGCUUAACCCAUGAGCUGCAUUUGAAACUGCGGUUCUUGAGUGAAGUAGAGGUAAGCGGAAUUCCUGGUGUAGCGGUGAAAUGCGUAGAUAUCAGGAGGAACACCGGUGGCGAAGGCGGCUUACUGGGCUUUUACUGACGCUGAGGCUCGAAAGCGUGGGGAGUAAACAGGAUUAGAUACCCUGGUAGUCCACGCUGUAAACGAUGAUUACUAGGUGUGGGGGGACUGACCCCUUCCGUGCCGCAGUUAACACAAUAAGUAAUCCACCUGGGGAGUACGGCCGCAAGGUUGAAACUCAAAUGAAUUGGCGGGG